UCUUAACAAAUCAGACAGCCAAUCUAAUUUCAGAAAAAGGGCCAGAGAAGUACCACAUCGUGAAGAAAAGAAGAGAUAGACUUAAAGGAGCAUCAAAUCCCGAGCUGUGACAUCGGAAUCCAGGACAUACAAGAUGACCAAUCUAUUACUCUGGAUGAUUUCUCUUAACCACAAUUGCUACUGCUUCUGGUCUCACUAUUGACGUAGACGGUCCGAUCAAUGGUCCGUGUUCUCUAUGUCCAGAAGGAGCUCCCGGUCCCCGUGGACCACCUGGAGACAUUGGCCUGCCGGGAAGAGACGGUCGUGAUGGGAGGGACGCUUCGUGUAAUGGCCAACUAUCAGGUAGAA
Molecule: long non-coding RNA, 348 nt
Organism: Lytechinus variegatus (green sea urchin)
Lineage: Eukaryota; Metazoa; Echinodermata; Echinoidea; Temnopleuroida; Toxopneustidae
Exons: 3
Source: RefSeq, a predicted model, not a curated record